This is a long non-coding RNA of Xenia sp. Carnegie-2017, 1270 nucleotides long. RefSeq lists it as uncharacterized. The transcript has 4 exons. NCBI's taxonomy places the organism in Eukaryota, Metazoa, Cnidaria, Anthozoa, Malacalcyonacea, Xeniidae. The record is from RefSeq and is a predicted model, not a curated record.
UCAGGUCUGUCCGACUGAUUUUGUUUGUUAGCGAUCUUUAGCGUUCUAGUUUCGGCCCUGUUCUCAAAUCUUAACCCAUUUUUCAAAAACAAUGAGAGAAAUACGGCAUGCAGAUUUUCAAUAAAGACUUAAUAUGCAAUGCACGUAUUUCUCUCUCAACAUAUCUAUCACGAAGCGAUUUUUUUUAUCCACGCAUGUACGAUUUAAGGCACAAAAUGCCUCAAACAAAAAAAUGACAUUCAUGUAAAUAACAUAUAGAUAUAUUCAAUAUAGGCCAUCGCCAGCCAUAUUUUAUUGCAUGCGAAAUAAAUAAAAAAAUUCAACACAGCUUUCCUUUCAGCGUUGUGAAAAUGAACAUGUUAUUGCCAUUCACUUAAAAUCAAUGAAAAGCACAAAAAAAUUGUAAUUAUAAAUUCUAAAAGAAUGGAAACAACGUUUUACUUGGCACUUCGCCUAGAAACUGGAAUAGAGCAAUCGCGUUUCCGCUGAUUACAUAUGUAUUGUGUGUAUUCUGACCAUUGAAAUGCAAGCAUCGAUUGGAGAAGCAAAAAUAAGCAAAAUUUCGACGUUCGUUGAUGUCAUGAUCAGCACAAAAUAGCCGCUUCCACUUGUGCCUCAAACUACUGUAUACAUAAAUAACAUUUUCAGAAAAAAAUCUCUCCAUGGAUAUUCCAAUUGUAACCGUUGUUAACACAAUUAAAUUCUUCAACAUCAACAAAAACAUACUGUGGAAGACAAAAAUGAGGACUUGUGCUGAUAAAUUCUACAAGUGACGUGUUAAGAAAGCGGAAACGGGCAUAAAGUAACUUCAUAUAAGUUCAGAAUGCAAGAGGAACAUUUCCAGAAAAAUUGAAAUUGUUAAUCGAUAUUCUGAUCGUGUCAACAACGUAAAAAAUUGCGAUAGAAAGGAAAAUACUGUGGUAAAUAAUAGCCGAUUUCUAAUUAUAAGAUAAUAAAGUAAAGUAAUUAUCUAGUAAGUCUGUAAAAAUACAAUAUAAAUAAUGCACAUGUCUAAUUAUACCGUGACGUAAAGGUCCUGCAUUAAAGUAAUACUUGGUCACGACUACUCCAAAAACAAGUCAUUUACUUCAUUCACUAAAUUUUGAAAAAUUAAAGCGAUGAGCAACUAGAACAAAUUUUCAAAAAAAAUAACCAGCACUGUUACGUCACUGCAUAAUUAAUUUGGUACUAACAACCAAACAGAGUUUACUAUUUUUAAACAAUUUAGUAAAAAGUGAAUUGUACUAAUAAAUUUUUUGUGCACUCUCCA